CAAGCACUCUACCAACUGGGCUGUGUCCCCAGCCCCACACUGAAUAUUUAGAUACAUCUUUGUCGUCUUUUUCUUAUAGUGGGGCUCUCCUGCACCCAGUUAUUUUUUGAUGAUUUGGACAAUUUGAGAGACUGGGUCUGAGAUGGUAACAUCUUCAAUAGGCUGAGAAAGCCCAUGAUACUUGGAAGAUUGUGCAGUGAGCACCAAGCUUGGGGCUUCUCCAGAAGAGUUGGCGUCUCAGGCUUGUUGAUGCAGAAUGGAGACAGGAGCGAGACGGGAGAGCCUGCUGUCCCUUUCUUCUCUGCUUAGUGUCCACAGGAAGGACCCAUCAGAGGGUGACGAGGAGCAGGCUGCCGUCAGUAAGUGGAUGGCCCCUGACUGGAAGAUGGUGCAUUUUCUGUGGACCCACCACUGUCCUCUGUGCAACCAUUCUGGCCUGGUUUCCUCAUCUGUAGGAUGGGAGAGUUCUGUCUUCCUCAUGUAGUUGUGGCGAGUCUAAUUAUUCAGUGCAUGGAAUAGUUAUUGCUGAGACCUUGGUUGUGCCGAGUCAGCCCAGUGUCCCCUGCCCGGCACUUACAGUUCGCUUCUUUGGCGGAGCAUGUUUCGCCCUGGCACCUGCUGCGGUCUCUUCCCCACCAGGGAGGAAGUAGUAGCUCCUGCUAGAGGACACUGCCCCUGGCACCACCGGGCCAAGAAGGGAACAUGUCCUCUGGGAAGGGCUCCGUGUCUGCUCAUCCCUGGCAAUUCUAAAUUUCAAAAAGCCAGAGAUUCUUUUUCAAAAAUUAAUUUAUUUCACUAUGAUCAUAAUCACAAAUUUGAACAAAGCAGAGAAAGGAAACAAGCCCGAACCCCACCUACGUCUUCAAACCCAGAGGUAACAUGGCUGUCCUUGGGGACGCUCUGUCCCCAGGCCCCUGGGCGGAGCCAUCCUGCUUUACUCAGUUACAGGCGGGUGGCCAAAGCGACUUCACCUCCUGCUUCUUUUCACUUAACUGUGUGACGCGUGCUCUGGGCUCCGCAGUCUUUCCACAUUUCAGGAGCCAGUAAGAGUCCACCUGGCUUCACGUUUCUCCCGCUGUCCACCAUUCUUGUGUAAUAAAUACGUUGAUUUUAA
Long non-coding RNA from Marmota monax (woodchuck), 1114 nucleotides. RefSeq lists it as uncharacterized. The record is from RefSeq and is a predicted model, not a curated record. The transcript is spliced from 3 exons. NCBI's taxonomy places the organism in Eukaryota, Metazoa, Chordata, Mammalia, Rodentia, Sciuridae.